UUUGAAAUUGCAGCCAUGCUCCUUUUUCGCUUGUCACUCCUGCAUGAAAGGGGAUGACUGCCCUUUUGAUCAUCAACUCUUCAAGUAUCCUUGUGUUAGCUUUGUGUUCGGAGGGAGGUUUUUGUGUUAGAGUUACCAGCCAAAAGAAGAUUUUGCUACACCUUCAAGGGUUCACAACCUAGGAAUGAAAUCUCCACACUUUUCAGGAAACACAAAUUCCAACAUGCCACCUAACAUUCAUGGCUGUAGUUCUAUCCAACAAAACCAUUUGAUCAUUCCUCCAAGAGUUCAUCUUGACAUCAAUUCGGAACAUAAAGCAACAAACACGGUACAGAAACAGCUUAAGCUUGCAUCUAAAGGAGUUAGCUCCGUCGAUGUUGCAAAGCUAUUGUUGCCUUCUCCUACUACGCCAAAGGAAGGCACGACCAAAGUUGGUUCAUCCUCUUCUGACCAAAGUACAUAGUACAUCUGGAACAAAUCAAACCUUGGUGGAAAUUCCAAAGGGAAUUAACUUUCUUGCUUUUGGGAAAGAUCCUGUGUGCAGUUUUAAGAGUUCUAUUAACUCCCUUGUAAAUGGGGAAAAUAGUAUUGAUCUGCUCCAGAAUAUAAGUUUCAGUUUGCUUGAUCAUACUAGUUCAACCUUAAAAGAUGCAACAAAAGGAAGGGUACCACAGACUGAUUUAGUCUCCAGUGAGAUUUCUGGUAAAAAUCAAUCCGCGGCAGAAAGUAUAAAAUUGAGUUUUUACAGGGAAAGCUUCAAUGAAUGAUAUGCUUCAACUGGUUUACAAGGUAGCUCUCAUGUGGAUAACAACGUAAGUAAACCAGUCCAAGAGGCAAGAGGGGCAUCUGAUUCUUGUCAAAUUCCCGCAGCAAUAUGGUUGCCAUUUAUGCGUCUGGUUUCUCCUUCAUCUUCAGAACAGCUACCAUCUAGAAAGGAGCUCUUGUCGACUGUAUUGUCAUUUGCAGCAGAGCAUGAAUCAGUUCAACUGCAUGAUGAAAGAUUCUGCUGGCACUUCAACUGCAUAAUUGGGUGAGAACUGAGAAGGAAUACAGUAAUAGCAGUUCAAGGUUGUUAGCUUCUUUCAUUAAGUGUAUUUAGGAUAUUAUUGAAUCAGUUAAUGAUAUGAUAAUUAAUUGUAUAUAUAAUGUAAUUUAUAUGCAUAUAUUUCAUCAUGCUUGUAUAAACUAAUCUUCAUC
Arachis ipaensis is the source of this 1197-nucleotide non-coding RNA. The record is from RefSeq and is a predicted model, not a curated record. NCBI's taxonomy places the organism in Eukaryota, Viridiplantae, Streptophyta, Magnoliopsida, Fabales, Fabaceae.